GAGAGUUGCUAGCAGCGCUAUGCCACUACUUGUAUUCUCUCCAACUACUUUGGACACUGACAAAACCCUCACAUUUCGAAACCAAAUCAGAACCAGAAACUUAGGGUUUUUGCAGCGUUUGCAAAACGACAAUGACGGAACCUGGAGUGGUAGUUCAAGUGAAGGAGAAGAUUGAGUUAACGGACGCCAAGAAUAAGAUAUUUGAUAGCCUUCUCAACACUCUUCACCACUUCAAUCUUAAAACUGAGCUUUGUGUAGCCGUUGGCUGGGUCCGCGAUACAAGCUUCUGGGGAUAGAAUGUUAUGACAUUGAUAUUGCGCUAGACAACAUGUUGGGAAGUGAAUUUGCUAAUAAGGUGGCUGAGUAUGUAUCGUCCACGGGUAAAAAGCCACCUUCAGGCUGAGGGGUUAUUCCAAGAUACUGUUGUCAACUACAUUUUCAGGGAGUCUCUCUAGCGAAAAGGCAGUGAUGCUGAAACUGUAUGCCUAAAUAUACUUUCUUGUUGUUUCUUAACUUAGGUUUUUCUUUCCUUUCUAGGUAAUGAACAUUCACAAAUCAUUGGAGAAAUUCUUAUCCUUGAUUCCAUUUCUCAUAUCCACUGAGGAGAUCAAACUUGUUGAAGUUGAUUGGGGUAGAGAAUUGGUUGAUGACUUUGUUCCUUCGAAACUCAGAGUUUUGACUGGUAUGAAGUUUCUGCUGUUUUAUCUAAUGUUAGUGAU
This is a long non-coding RNA of Pistacia vera, 719 nucleotides long. RefSeq lists it as uncharacterized. NCBI's taxonomy places the organism in Eukaryota, Viridiplantae, Streptophyta, Magnoliopsida, Sapindales, Anacardiaceae. The record is from RefSeq and is a predicted model, not a curated record. The transcript has 3 exons.